This 484-nucleotide ribosomal RNA is filed under the name uncultured bacterium. RNAcentral's name for it is "partial 16S ribosomal RNA". It matches the Rfam family "Bacterial small subunit ribosomal RNA", at positions 30 to 507 of the family's 1533-position model. The record is from RNAcentral.
AUUGAACGCUGGCGGCAGGCCUAACACAUGCAAGUCGAGCGGAUGAAGGGAGCUUGCUCCUGGAUUCAGCGGCGGACGGGUGAGUAAUGCCUAGGAAUCUGCCUGGUAGUGGGGGAUAACGUCCGGAAACGGGCGCUAAUACCGCAUACGUCCUGAGGGAGAAAGUGGGGGAUCUUCGGGCCUCACGCUAUCAGAUGAGCCUAGGUCGGAUUAGCUAGUUGGUGGGGUAAAGGCCUACCAAGGCGACGAUCCGUAACUGGUCUGAGAGGAUGAUCAGUCACACUGGAACUGAGACACGGUCCAGUCUCCUACGGGAGGCAGCAGUGGGGAAUAUUGGACAAUGGGCGAAAGCCUGAUCCAGCCAUGCCGCGUGUGUGAAGAAGGUCUUCGGAUUGUAAAGCACUUUAAGUUGGGAGGAAGGGCAGUAAGUUAAUACCUUGCUGUUUUGACGUUACCAACAGAAUAAGCACCGGCUAACUUCGUG